CCUUACGGUAUUCCCUAGUAGCGGCGAGCGAAGCGGGAAGAGCUCAAAUUUAUAAUCUGGCACCUUCGGUGUCCGAGUUGUAAUCUCUAGAAAUGUUUUCCGCGUUGGACCGCACACAAGUCUGUUGGAAUACAGCGGCAUAGUGGUGAGACCCCCGUAUAUGGUGCGGACGCCCAGCGCUUUGUGAUACAUUUUCGAAGAGUCGAGUUGUUUGGGAAUGCAGCUCAAAUUGGGUGGUAAAUUCCAUCUAAAGCUAAAUAUUGGCGAGAGACCGAUAGCGAACAAGUACCGUGAGGGAAAGAUGAAAAGCACUUUGGAAAGAGAGUUAACAGUACGUGAAAUUGUUGGAAGGGAAACGCUUGAAGUCAGACUUGCUUGCCGAGCAAUCGGUUUGCAGGCCAGCAUCAGUUUUCCGGGAUGGAUAAUGGUAAAGAGAAGGUAGCAGUUUCGGCUGUGUUAUAGCUCUCUACUGGAUACAUCCUGGGGGACUGAGGAACGCAGUGUGCCUUUGGCGGGGGUUUCGACCUCUUCACACUUAGGAUGCUGGUGGAAUGGCUUUAAACGACCCGUCUUG
RNAcentral lists this ribosomal RNA (574 nucleotides) under Rhodotorula mucilaginosa. RNAcentral's name for it is "eukaryotic LSU rRNA". It matches the Rfam family "Eukaryotic large subunit ribosomal RNA", at positions 65 to 656 of the family's 3401-position model. The record is from RNAcentral. Lineage: Eukaryota; Fungi; Basidiomycota; Microbotryomycetes; Sporidiobolales; Sporidiobolaceae.